RNAcentral lists this ribosomal RNA (484 nucleotides) under uncultured bacterium. Its description in RNAcentral is "partial 16S ribosomal RNA". It matches the Rfam family "Bacterial small subunit ribosomal RNA", at positions 30 to 507 of the family's 1533-position model. The record is from RNAcentral.
AUUGAACGCUGGCGGCAGGCCUAACACAUGCAAGUCGAGCGGAUGAAGGGAGCUUGCUCCUGGAUUCAGCGGCGGACGGGUGAGUAAUGCCUAGGAAUCUGCCUGGUAGUGGGGGAUAACGUCCGGAAACGGGCGCUAAUACCGCAUACGUCCUGAGGGAGAAAGUGGGGGAUCUUCGGACCUCACGCUAUCAGAUGAGCCUAGGUCGGAUUAGCUAGUUGGUGGGGUAAAGGCCUACCAAGGCGACGAUCCGUAACUGGUCUGAGAGGAUGAUCAGUCACACUGGAAGUGAGACGCGGUCCAGACUCCUACGGGAGGCAGCAGUGGGGAAUAUUGGACAAUGGGGGAAAGCCUGAUCCAGCCACGCCGCGUGUGUGAAGAAGGUCUUCGGAUUGUAAAGCACUUUUAGUUGGGAGGAAGGGCAGUAAGUUAAUACCUUGCUGUUUUGACGUUACCAACAGAAUAAGCACCGGCUAACUUCGUG